Long non-coding RNA from Papaver somniferum (opium poppy), 1250 nucleotides. RefSeq lists it as uncharacterized. The record is from RefSeq and is a predicted model, not a curated record. Lineage: Eukaryota; Viridiplantae; Streptophyta; Magnoliopsida; Ranunculales; Papaveraceae. The transcript is spliced from 2 exons.
CAACCAUAUUACUGGUGCGGUUAACAUAAGUGAAAGAGAUUGCCUUAAGCUUUGUAAUUAGGUAUUCAAUAUCAGACCAAAUUGCUUGGGUUCUCUGGUCGCCACAAAAAUCUUUCCUAGUUAUCUUCUCAAUUACUCCUUCAACGUCGAUUUCAAUUAGGAUUUGUUGAUUCUUCCUUUCCCAGGCAGUUCUCAUGGCGUCUCUUAUUGCUUUGAUUUCCGCUUCUUCUGCCGAGCAACAACCAACAUGUAAAGCUUCUGCAAGAAUGAAUUGGUGAUCUGAAUUUCGGAAUACAAAUCCAAUCCCCCCUGUUUCUGAGUAGAGAUUCCAAGCCCCAUCACAGUUAAUUUUAAUUCAAUUAACAAGUGGAGAAAUCCAAGUUGAGAUAUCAGAGAUCGGUGUAAUUGCAACAAUUUGUUGGAGGUGUGGUUGAUUGAUUUGCACCAGUAGCAUCAAUUUUGCUCUAGCCAAAAUUGAGGUUGGUUCUUCAACUAUUCCAGUAUGAACAAUUAUGUUUCUACUGGUCUUGAACAGCACAUACAGGCUAUCAUUGGGUAUGUACCAAUUCUAUUAGAAACAUCAUUAUAAGGGUUCAACUGCAACCAAUAUCUGAUCCAUUCAUCAAAGAUAUUCUCAAUGGCCAAUAAGUGUAGCUUCCUCUUUUUUGACUUUGGAUCUUCUCCCCACCAGAAUCUAUUUAGGUGAGCAUCUAUUUUAUGGCAGAAAUUCUUGGGGAUUAGAAAGUUUGCCGUCUGGUAUGUUAACAUAGCUUGUCCUACAUGUUGAACCAAAGUUGCAAUGACCACACUUGAUAAGAUAUUAUCCUUUAACCACGUAAUUGCCUUCAGUGAGGCUUUUGCUUCUACAUGAAAAGCUGAUGUAGCCCACUCCAAACCCGUUGAAAGGUGCAUGAAGGUCUCUUCAUCAGCAGAGUACAGGAUGAAAGAAAAUCCCAUCGAAGAAUCUUCUUUCUUGUAAGAAGCAUCAAUGAAGAUUAUCCAGUCUGAAUUUAGGUUGAAACUUUGAAGUUUUCAUUUUUGUUGGAUUGAAUACAUGGGCUUGCGGUUACUGGAACUGUGAUUUUUUUUUCUUUUUUUUGGAAGAGGCCAUCAGAGGCAUUUAUUAAAAAUAAACAUACUGUAAGUGUUAUUACAAUGAGUUAGAUGGCAGCCGAGCCACUAGCUGGGCACCAACACCUUUUUGGAUUGCCAUACCUACUCUAUGAAAUAAAAAUCUGCUUGUGCCACAA